GAGGUGUUCAGCUCCAUAAGGCAGAGCAAUACACUUUUAAUAUAUUGGCUGUGGGUUCAAAUCUCAUUCAUGUCG
RNAcentral lists this transfer RNA (75 nucleotides) under Sphaeroforma arctica JP610. It matches the Rfam family "tRNA". Rfam says of the family: Transfer RNA (tRNA) molecules are approximately 80 nucleotides in length. Their secondary structure includes four short double-helical elements and three loops (D, anti-codon, and T loops). Lineage: Eukaryota; Ichthyosporea; Ichthyophonida. The record is from Rfam by way of RNAcentral.